Molecule: long non-coding RNA, 2939 nt
Organism: Mustela putorius furo (domestic ferret)
Lineage: Eukaryota; Metazoa; Chordata; Mammalia; Carnivora; Mustelidae
Source: Ensembl
ACUCAUUGUUUCAAGGGCAUUUAAAAACCAAGGGAGAAAAAAAUUUAUUUUUAGCUAAAUAAAUGGAAUUUUCUAAACCAUAACAAGUAACCAUAGCAGUUGUAAUUUAAUUCUGUUCAUAAUAGUUGCAAAAGGAAAAAAAAAAAAAUCCCAAAUUCAUACAAGUAGAAGGAUAUUAGGAAUAAAUUAAAAUAUCUUUUUAAAGUUGUUUUUUUGAUUCACAUUUUCAUCUUAAAAUAGAAUCCAUAUAAUUUUCUCAUUCUCACACAUCACUCACUGUUCAUCUUUUGCCUGGUAGGGUACACAUGUUGUUUUUGCCCAGGGCUUCUCAGGGCGCUCUGCUAAUUGCUUACCUCUCCCCAGGGGAAGGCUGGCAGCUCAGCUGUUCUCUUCUUUCUCACCUAGAUUUUAUGGGACAAAUGCUGCUGGGAACUAGAGCUUACAGCUCCUGUGGAGGGGAUGGCUGAUGCCUCCCGGGCUCCCUCCCCUCCGGGCCGCUACCUGCCCAGUUCCCUUCAACAAUAGCCGGGGAAAGCAGUAUGUAUCCGGGAAAUCCCAGCUCUACCGAGAAGAGAGGGAAAGGUCAGAGGGAGGCUUCAGUAGGCAUGAAGCGUACUGGAAUUUGGCCUACAGUGGACAAACACACAGAUCUUCAUCGCUACAAAAAACAUCCCUUGAUGUUGCCCCAUCCAUUCAAACCAAACCUCAGAGAGCCCCAGGAAGAAGAACUCAUAGAUGUUUACAGUGCUGGUCGGCAUUGUUUAAAAGGUAGGACUGCACAGGUCAGAAAGUCCUAUGAUGGCAUUGUGAACUAAUACUCAACCUAUAAAAGCAAAUGUCAUAUUAUAAUUCCUUAGUUGCAGGCUUCGGAAAAAGAACAACCAAAAUUUUUGCCAGCUGGGAGAUGAAAAUGACAUGGAAAGGAGGCCACUGGUAAGAACAACACAUAUGGAAAAGUAUGGUUAUAUUCGUUACCGAAGGCUGUGUAGCAGUUUUCCCCCAAACUUUGUAGUUCAUUUUUUUAGUUUUUAAAAAAGAUUUUAUUUAUUUAUUUGACAGAGAGAGAGUCAGAGGGCACAAGCGGGGGAGGGAGGGAGGGACAGCAGAAGGAGAGGGAGAUGGAGACUCCCCCCUGAGCAGGGAGCCUGAUGACUUGGUGCUCAAUGACCCCGAGAUCAUGACCUGAGCCAGGCAGAUGUUUAACCGACUGAGCCACCCAGGCAUCCCCAAACUUAGUAAUUUAAAACAGUAAGAAACAUUUAUUAUUUCACACAGUUUCAGGGCAUCUGGAGCCAAAGAGUGCCUCAGCCUAUUGGUUCUAUCUCAUGAUCUCUUAUGAAUCCACAGUUAAGAUGACAGCCAAGGCUGCAGUCAUUUGAAGGUUUGGGGCUGGAAAAUCCACUUUCAAGAUGGUUUAUUCACAUAACUGGCAAAUCAGUGCUGACUGUUGGCCAAAGGAUUUACUUGCUCACCAUAUGGCUUCCUACAUGUCCUCACAACAGAGUAUCUAGCUUCUCCAGAGUGGACAAUCCAAGAGAGAGCCAGACAGAAGCCACAGCGUCUUUUAUAGCUCAGCGCUGGAAGUCAUGGCCAUACCUUUCUGCAGUAUCUGUUGGUUACACAGGUCAUCCCCAUUCCGUGCCACAGCAGAACACAUACAGGUGGAAACACUGGGAAGUGGGAAUUUGGGGGGCUAUCUUGGAGGGUGGCCACCACAAUGAUAGAGACAUUUCUGUAUAUACAGGAUUGAGAAGAGAUUCAUGUGUUGGCUGAGUGAUUGAUUUUUUUUUUUUUAAGAUUUUAUUUAUUGUCAGAGGGAGAGAGAGCAUAAGCAGGCAGAGUGGCAGGCAAAGGCAGAGAGAAAAGCACGCUCCCCGCUGAGCAAGGAGCCCUAUUUCGGGACUCAGUCCCAGGACCCUGGGAUCGUGACCUGAGCUGAAGGGAGUGGCUUAACUGAUUGAGCCACCCAGUUGUCCCUGGCUGAGUGAUUGAUUGCACUGGACCAGUGGUCUCAAUGCUAGCUGCGAACAGUUGCCUGUGUCAGAAUGACCCGAAGGCACUUCAAAUAAUAUUGGUUUCCAUGGCCUCUUCCCCAAAUAGUCUGAUUAAAUCAGGGUUGAUGCCCAGAUUUGAGAAUUACUGGAUUAGGUGAUGUCCCAGGUCAAGCCCAACCUUAACCCUGUUCCCCAAACUUUCCAGAUGAUAGGUGUUACCCAGGGAGUUUGUUUAAAAUACAGAUUUCCAGGCCCUACCUCCAGCUUCAUGAAUCAAAACCCCAAGUGAAGGCCCUAAAAAUAUGUAUUUCUGCUUAAUUUUUUAAAAAGUUUAGACCAAGUCAUUCAACAUGAUUGAAAAUUCUAAAAGGUAUCAAAGAAUGUUGUUAAAAAGUGUCUUUCUCAACUUUGUCCUCCCCAAAUCCCAGUUCACCUUCCUAGAGAGGGUGAUCAGUAUUACUUUGUAUGUGUGUAUUCUUGCAACAAUAAAUGCACAUAUAUAAAUGUGGAUAUAUAUAUAUAUAUACACACACAUUUUUUAUUUUAAAGAUUGUAAUUUAUUUAUUUGUUUAUUUGACAGAGAGAGAAAGAGAAUGCUCGAGCACAAGCAGAGGAAACAGCAGGCAGAGGGAGAAGCAGGCUCCCCGCUGAGCAGAGAGCCCGAUGGAUGCAUCUCAGGACCCUGGGAUCAUGACCUGAGCUGAAGGCAGACGUUCCACCGACUGGCCACUCAGGCGCCCCUAAAUGUGUAUAUUUUUGAAAUUUCUUCUUCUCUUUUUAAAAACAAAUUAAAAAUCAAAAGCAUAUAUGGUCAAAAGCCAGUUUGUUCUUGAUCCUAAUCACUAGCUCUCCUCUUCAGACUCGAACCCUUUUCCCAGUUUCUUAUGGUUCCAGAGCCAGGACUCUGUCAUUUUAAUAAGCGACUGAGGCAUUCUUACAGCCCGG